Molecule: ribosomal RNA, 260 nt
Filed under: uncultured bacterium
Lineage: Bacteria
Description: partial small subunit ribosomal RNA
Rfam family: Bacterial small subunit ribosomal RNA
Source: RNAcentral
AGAAUCAACGCUGGCGGCGUGCCUAACACAUGCAAGUCGAACGAGAAAGUGGAGCAAUCCAUGAGUAAAGUGGCGACCGGGUGAGUAACACGUGACUAACCUGCCUUCAAGUGGGGGAUAACCUCGGGAAACCGGGCUAAUACCGCAUAACAUCUUUGGAGUGGAAAUUCUGGAGAUCAAAGGAGCAAUUCGCUGGAAGAGGGGGUCGCGGCUGAUUAGCUAGUUGGCGGGGUAAUGGCCCACCAAGGCUUUGAUCGGUA